This is a small nucleolar RNA of Rhinolophus ferrumequinum (greater horseshoe bat), 132 nucleotides long. Its record names the gene SNORA63. It matches the Rfam family "Small nucleolar RNA SNORA63". From Rfam's summary of the family: E3 belongs to the H/ACA class of snoRNAs and is involved in the processing of eukaryotic pre-rRNA and has regions of complementarity to 18S rRNA. NCBI's taxonomy places the organism in Eukaryota, Metazoa, Chordata, Mammalia, Chiroptera, Rhinolophidae. The record is from Ensembl.
ACGCAGGAUCUAGUUACAAUGUAGCUGUGAAGUGCUACAUUGUCUUUGCUCCCUGCACAAAAUAAAACUGUUUCCUUUCUAGCCCUGUCGCCCAUGGUACCAUAGCUGUCGGGGAUGCAUGGUCUCACACAU